CUCCUCUGCGCGACCGCUUCACGGUUUGCGGGAAAACGCUCCGCUAGUUUCCCUGGGAAGCGAAGGCACGACGAAGACCCAUCCGGAAAUCUUGUCAAGAUGUUUGCCACUUUGGCACAGCAAACAGCCGCUAUCAACCUCCAGAUGUGUGUGAUUCCAAAAAUUCCAACGCCCCCCUUGAGCUGCUUGGUGCAGAAAAGCUGUCCAUGCCAAUCUCUAACCUCAUUGUAGAUUCAUGAGAGUAACAAAUGUUAUUUUAAACCACUAAGCCUGAGUGGUUUCUUACAAAGCAAGAGAAUUUGUAACGAAUAAAGUGCUAAUACUUUGAAACCCCCUUGUAUGUCCCUCCCUGUUUGUAUCUUCUUACUCUUCCAGAAGUAACUAGAAUUCUAAAUUAAGUACUUAUAAUUCCCUUACUUUUUUUUUAA
Zalophus californianus (California sea lion) is the source of this 428-nucleotide long non-coding RNA. RefSeq lists it as uncharacterized. Lineage: Eukaryota; Metazoa; Chordata; Mammalia; Carnivora; Otariidae. The record is from RefSeq and is a predicted model, not a curated record. The transcript is spliced from 3 exons.